GAUGAACGCUGGCGGCGUGCCUAAUACAUGCAAGUCGAGCGAAUGGACGAGAAGCUUGCUUCUCGGAUGUUAGCGGCGGACGGGUGUGUAACACGUGGAUAAUCUACCUAUAAUACUGGGAUAACUUCGGAAAACCGGCGCUUAUACCGUAUAAUCUUUUGAUCCGCAUUGGUCAAAAGUGAAAGACGGUGUUUCUGUCACGUAUAGAUGGAUCCGCGCUGCAUUAGCUAGUUGGUAAGGUAACGGCUUACCAAGGCAACGAUGCAUAGCCGACGUGAGAGACGGAUCGGCGGCACGGGAAGUGGGACGGGGUCCAGACUACUACGGGACGCAGCAGUAGGGAAUGUUACGCAAUGGGGGGAAGCCUGACGGAGCAACGCGGAGUGAGAGAUGACGGUGUUCGGAGCGUAAAACUCUGUUAUUAGGGAUAAACAUAUGUGUAAGUAACUGUGCACAUCGUGACGGUAACUGAUAAGAAAGCAACGGCUAACUACGUG
This 497-nucleotide ribosomal RNA is filed under the name uncultured bacterium. RNAcentral describes it as "partial 16S ribosomal RNA". It matches the Rfam family "Bacterial small subunit ribosomal RNA", at positions 28 to 507 of the family's 1533-position model. The record is from RNAcentral.